RNAcentral lists this ribosomal RNA (452 nucleotides) under uncultured bacterium. RNAcentral's name for it is "bacterial SSU rRNA". It matches the Rfam family "Bacterial small subunit ribosomal RNA", at positions 329 to 793 of the family's 1533-position model. The record is from RNAcentral.
CUCCAGACUCCUACGGGAGGCAGCAGUGGGGAAUAUUGGGCAAUGGGCGCAAGCCUGACCCAGCGACGCCGCGUGAGGGAAGACGGUCUUCGGAUUGUAAACCUCUUUCAGCAGGGAAGACAAAAGGACGGUACCUGCAGAAGAAGCCACGGCUAACUACGUGCCAGCAGCCGCGGUAAUACGUAGGGGGCAAGCGUUGUUCGGAAUGACUGGGCGUAAAGGGUGUGUAGGCGGUGUAGCAAGUUAGAAGUGAAAUACCUAGAGCUUAACUCAGGUGCUGCUUCUAAAACUGCUAUACUUGAGUGCAGUAGAGGAAAGUGGAAUUCCUAGUGUAGCGGUGGAAUGCGUAGAUAUUAGGAGGAACACCAGUGGCGAAGGCGGCUUGCUGGACAGUAACUGACGUUGAGGCUCGAAAGCGUGGGGAGCAAACAGGAUUAGAUACCCGUGUAUAG